AGAGGUGGUAGACCCACAGAGGAACUGCUAAUUCCUUAAUCCAGGUUUAACCUCCUGGCCUCCU
RNAcentral lists this transfer RNA (64 nucleotides) under Caiman latirostris (Broad-snouted caiman). RNAcentral describes it as "tRNA-Ser". The record is from RNAcentral. Lineage: Eukaryota; Metazoa; Chordata; Crocodylia; Alligatoridae.